RNAcentral lists this ribosomal RNA (253 nucleotides) under uncultured bacterium. RNAcentral describes it as "partial 16S ribosomal RNA". It matches the Rfam family "Bacterial small subunit ribosomal RNA", at positions 524 to 776 of the family's 1533-position model. The record is from RNAcentral.
UACGUAGGUGGCAAGCGUUGUCCGGAUUUAUUGGGCUUAAAGGGUGCGUAGGCGGCUUUGUAAGUCAGUGGUGAAAUAUCGCAGCUUAACUGUCAGGGUGCCAUUGAUACUGCGGAGCUUGAGUACAGAUGAGGUAGGCGGAAUUGACGGUGUAGCGGUGAAAUGCUUAGAUAUCGUCAAGAACACCUAUAGCGAAGGCAGCUUACUAGGCUGUAACUGACGCUGAGGCACGAAAGUGUGGGGAUCAAACAGG